This 458-nucleotide ribosomal RNA is filed under the name uncultured Propionivibrio sp. Its description in RNAcentral is "bacterial SSU rRNA". It matches the Rfam family "Bacterial small subunit ribosomal RNA", at positions 924 to 1382 of the family's 1533-position model. Lineage: Bacteria; Pseudomonadati; Pseudomonadota; Betaproteobacteria; Rhodocyclales; Rhodocyclaceae. The record is from RNAcentral.
CACAAGCGGUGGAUGAUGUGGAUUAAUUCGAUGCAACGACGAAAACCUUACCUACCUUGACAUGUCCGGAAUCCCGAAGAGAUUUGGGAGUGCUCGCAAGAGAACCGGAACACAGGUGCUGCAUGGCUGUCGUCAGCUCGUGUCGUGAGAUGUUGGGUUAAGUCCCGCAACGAGCGCAACCCUUGUCAUUAGUUGCCAUCAUUUGGUUGGGCACUCUAAUGAGACUGCCGGUGACAAACCGGAGGAAGGUGGGGAUGACGUCAAGUCCUCAUGGCCCUUAUGGGUAGGGCUUCACACGUCAUACAAUGGUCGGUACAGAGGGUUGCCAACCCGCGAGGGGGAGCCAAUCCCAGAAAACCGAUCGUAGUCCGGAUUGCAGUCUGCAACUCGACUGCAUGAAGUCGGAAUCGCUAGUAAUCGCGGAUCAGCAUGUCGCGGUGAAUACGUUCCCGGGCCUU